AACGCAGGCUUCUGACAGCUUUGGAGAUUGUGACAUUGGAAUAAAGGAAAAACGUACAGGACUCAUGAAGCGCUGAAAUGUUCACAAAUAUCAAGCAAAAGUCAAUGAAAUUUAUUUUGAGCUAUUUACAUCAUUUAAUAAUUGAGCAAGGUAUACUCCUAUGAACAAAAUUUGGAGCAUGUUUGUCUCUCUCUGCCUGGCGUCUUCAGAAUUUGGAAACUAGUUGUGCUGUACUGCAUGAGAAUGCCUGCAUUUAGUAUGCGAACUGGAAUUGGCAAAGGACGAUGGCUGCUCUCCCGCUAACUUUAAAUAAGUCAUGUCACAAAUUGCAUUCGUUCCCAGAUUUCCUAAACUUUCCAGAGAAAAUGGUCUUCUCCCUGGCUCAGCAAGAAGAUGAACUUUAAACACUGAGAAACUGGUCAUCUCCCUGGCUCAACCAGAAGAUGAACUUUAAACACUACUCUCAAUGACUUGAUGUUCCCAUCACUACUCCUGUCAUAAAGGGAGGGGACUCAGAUAUUGAGAAUUUUAUGAUAGUGUGAACUGUCUGGUAUGUCAUUUAAGUAAGCCCGUUGCUGAAAUAUUUUCCAUGUUAUUAGAAAGAGCUGAAGAGAGGGAUUGAGAUGGCUUCUUUAUUUUUUGUCUUUUGGGAAUUAAAGGAACCUGGUUCAACAAGGGCCUACACCUAAGUCUCUUGUUGUACCAGAGUACAAUUUAGGACUGCUCCUGAGGAAGGAAUUAGCUAGAAAUCUAGAGAGUAAGGGUAACAGAUUUACAUAGAAUAACAGCCUCAGUAUUUUUGGUUCCUCUCCAGUAAAGAUCACAAAGAAUAUUGCUAAAUCGCUAAAACACCUUUGCAAUAACGUAAGGGCUUACAACUAUAUACCAAUGUAGCUCAGUUACUAAACUGGAGUAAACUAAUUUCUCUUGUGUAGAAAAAUUGGUUGGCUGUGGUUUUAUAGCAGAUCUGCAAUUAUUAAUAGUUAUGCCAAUAAUCGUUUAACAGUGCAUAUGUUAAUAUAUAUGGAAAGACAAUGUGUAUAGACAGAUGUGUAAAAUUGAAAAAUAAACAUAUAACAAGAGAGAAACAUCUAUCGAACAGACAAUAUACAUACACAUCAAACACAACAGCAGUUUUAGUGACCAUAAUAUUUAUUUCUCAUUUUUACAUUGCUUACUUUAGUGACAACUGAAAAUGACAGUUGGCAAUGCAGCUAACAGUUUCAAUAAAAGUAUAAAACAAAAGACUGUGUACAAAGCACCUGUCUUUCCGCUUUUGUAAUCUUCCGUUGGAAAAAAUUUACACACCUAAGUAACCAUCUGUUUUCUUCAAGAAAAAAUCAUUCUUAUUUCUCUCUCUCAUCUUGAAAACAGCUGUCAGCCAGGAGGGCAGAGCUGAAAUUUAUUGCCACAUCACAUGAAGCAUAGAACAGACUCCACUACUCCUUGAGAUUCAAAACUUUGCCUCUCACAAAGUUACCUUUUAUUUUCCUCUUGUUUGUCACUCAUCUC
This 1512-nucleotide long non-coding RNA is filed under the name Homo sapiens (human). RNAcentral describes it as "non-protein coding LINC00320:23". The record is from RNAcentral. Lineage: Eukaryota; Metazoa; Chordata; Mammalia; Primates; Hominidae.